This 496-nucleotide ribosomal RNA is filed under the name uncultured bacterium. Its description in RNAcentral is "partial 16S ribosomal RNA". It matches the Rfam family "Bacterial small subunit ribosomal RNA", at positions 29 to 507 of the family's 1533-position model. The record is from RNAcentral.
ACGAACGCUGGCGGCGUGCCUAAUACAUGCAAGUUGAGCGCUGAAGGUUGGUACUUGUACCAACUGGAUGAGCAGCGAACGGGUGAGUAACGCGUGGGGAAUCUGCCUUUGAGCGGGGGACAACAUUUGGAAACGAAUGCUAAUACCGCAUAAAAACUUUAAACACAAGUUUUAAGUUUGAAAGAUGCAAUUGCAUCACUCAAAGAUGAUCCCGCGUUGUAUUAGCUAGUUGGUGAGGUAAAGGCUCACCAAGGCGAUGAUACAUAGCCGACCUGAGAGGGUGAUCGGCCACAUUGGGACUGAGACACGGCCCAAACUCCUACGGGAGGCAGCAGUAGGGAAUCUUCGGCAAUGGACGAAAGUCUGACCGAGCAACGCCGCGUGAGUGAAGAAGGUUUUCGGAUCGUAAAACUCUGUUGGUAGAGAAGAACGUUGGUGAGAGUGGAAAGCUCAUCAAGUGACGGUAACUACCCAGGAAGGGACGGCUAACUACGUG